GACAGGAGUACAUGCAUAUCGUGCUGUCUUCAUACCAUGGCGUGUGUCUGAUCACCUUAAAGACUUAUAUACUGGUGAAAAAUUACCGUAUGAAAAUGGAAAAUCAACGAAUCAUCAUGCCUACAUUGAUCUCUAACUGAUUCUUUACAUCUUUGACAUCACAUCUUAUAAGAUGUCCUUCAGCUGAAAGAACAGGUGUAGCAGGUCGAGAAGUUCCUAGUCACAAGUCAACGAUCCGCAUACCUUGAUAUUUUCAUCGUAGCUAUCAGAGCGGAACUGUGUGAAUGUUCCGCCGAUGAUGAAGGUGUUCAGGCAGUCGUCCUGAUUACUAGCUAAUACGUAUACAUUCGCCGUUUACGUUCAUUCCAACGACUUGUAUCUUUUCUUCGGGGUGAACAGAUGUGGAAACUUUAAAAUGUGCCGUAUUAGAGGGCAACCAUCCAUGUAUAUGCCAAUCUUCCUGACGAUUCUGACAGCUGGACUGCAAGUAUGUUCUGUAGAUGUUGAAGUGAAAACCUCGGACGCAUGUCACGGACCAUCAACAUUUACUCAGACACACAACAUGUUAGAGUGUGACGAGUUGGAAGAGAUCUGUAUAACAGAGGUCAGGUACUACCAGUAUGAUCCAAGCGACCAAGUUUGUUCAUAUCUUAUAUCCAGGGUUGUGCCUGACCGAUGUUGUCAGCGCAACACAAGUCGAUGUAGCUGGGUAAGAGAUGUAAACGAUGACCGUCAGGAGUUACAGACAAACUGCACUGAUCAAAGCGAGUGUGAUCUUCAUUCUGCUGUUUGGAAACUCAUAGGGCAUCCAUGUAAUCUCACCCAGCCCGGGUCUACCCAGAGCAGCGUGCGAUCCAUCACGUAUACGUGCACUUCUUCUGGGACUUGCCCUCCUCUUGCAACAACAACAGUCUCAGUAGGUUUGACAGGAGGAUCAGAAGAAUCGUCUUCAAUAAAGGCAAACG
Long non-coding RNA from Liolophura sinensis, 965 nucleotides. RefSeq lists it as uncharacterized. The record is from RefSeq and is a predicted model, not a curated record. The transcript is spliced from 4 exons. Lineage: Eukaryota; Metazoa; Mollusca; Polyplacophora; Chitonida; Chitonidae.